This 253-nucleotide ribosomal RNA is filed under the name uncultured bacterium. RNAcentral's name for it is "partial 16S ribosomal RNA". It matches the Rfam family "Bacterial small subunit ribosomal RNA", at positions 524 to 776 of the family's 1533-position model. The record is from RNAcentral.
UACGGAGGGUGCAAGCGUUAUCCGGAUUUACUGGGUUUAAAGGGUGCGCAGGCGGAUAUGUAAGUCAGUGGUGAAAUCUCUAGGCUUAACCUGGAAAUUGCCGUUGAUACUAUAUAUCUUGAAUAUUGUGGAGGUAAGCGGAAUAUGUCAUGUAGCGGUGAAAUGCUUAGAUAUGACAUAGAACACCAAUUGCGAAGGCAGCUUGCUACACAGUUAUUGACGCUGAGGCACGAAAGCGUGGGGAUCAAACAGG